Molecule: microRNA precursor, 126 nt
Filed under: Myotis brandtii (Brandt's bat)
Lineage: Eukaryota; Metazoa; Chordata; Mammalia; Chiroptera; Vespertilionidae
Description: mir-9193 microRNA precursor family
Rfam family: mir-9193 microRNA precursor family
Source: Rfam by way of RNAcentral
CAUGCACUGGUGGGGUCCUUUGGCCUGGCCUGUGCCCUCUCGCAAUCCAAGACCCUUUGAGGGAUGUUGGAGAGCCGGUUUUGGCCCGAUCCCACAGGCCAGGCCAAGGGACCCCACCGGUGCACG